RNAcentral lists this small RNA (753 nucleotides) under Pongo abelii (Sumatran orangutan). RNAcentral describes it as "processed transcript". Lineage: Eukaryota; Metazoa; Chordata; Mammalia; Primates; Hominidae. The record is from RNAcentral.
GAAACGGCACGUGGGCCCGGGCAGAGGCUGCUGGCGGUAGGUUCGCCCUGACGCCUUGGUGGUUCCCUGGCCGCGGCGACCGGUGGUCCCAUGUCCAUCCCGGCUCAGUGAGCUUCCCCGGGCCCUGUCUGGACAGGCCUGCCUGCGUGCUGGGACAUGUCUGGCCUCCAAGGACCGUCGGUGGGCGAUGGCUGCAACGGUGGAGGGGCCAGAGCUGGAGGCAGCUGCUGCCGCAGGAGAUGCUUCGGAGGAUUCGGAUGCAGGGUCCAGGGCGCUGCCUUUCCUGGGCGGCAACCGGCUGAGCUUGGACCUGUACCCCAGGGGCUGCCAGCAGCUGCUGCACCUGUGUGUCCAGCAGCCUCUUCAGCUGCUGCAGGUGGAAUUCUUGCGUCUGAGCACUCACGAGGACCCUCAGCUGCUGGAGGCCACCCUGGCCCAGCUGCCUCAGAGCCUGUCCUGCCUCCGCUCCCUGGUCCUCAAAGGGUCGAUCUGGACCUCGGACCCUGGCUCUGAGGGCCACAUCCGCCUCCCCCCUUCCCAGGAGGGCAACGCCGGGACACACUGGGUGCCUGUCUCCGGGGUGCCCUGACCAACCUGCCUGCUGGUCUGAGUGGCCUGGCCCAUCUGGCCCACCUGGACCUGAGCUUCAACAGCCUGGAGACACUGCCGGCCUGUGUCCUGCGGAUGCGAGGUCUGGGUGCACUCUUGCUGUCUCACAACUGCCUCUCUGAGCUGCCUGAGGCUCUGGGGGCC